RNAcentral lists this ribosomal RNA (492 nucleotides) under uncultured Sphingobacteriales bacterium. RNAcentral's name for it is "bacterial SSU rRNA". It matches the Rfam family "Bacterial small subunit ribosomal RNA", at positions 888 to 1382 of the family's 1533-position model. The record is from RNAcentral. Lineage: Bacteria; Pseudomonadati; Bacteroidota; Sphingobacteriia; Sphingobacteriales.
CCCGCUCAGAAACUCAAAUGAAUUGACGGGGGCCCGCACAAGCGGUGGAGCAUGUGGUUUAAUUCGAUGAUACGCGAGGAACCUUACCUGGGCUCAAAUGUAUGUUGACGUAUUCUGAAAGGGAUACUUCUUCGGACAAUAUACAAGGUGCUGCAUGGUUGUCGUCAGCUCGUGCCGUGAGGUGUCGGGUUAAGUCCCAUAACGAGCGCAACCCCUACCUUUAGUUGCCAUCAGGUAAUGCUGGGGACUCUAAAGGAACUGCCUACGCAAGUAGUGAGGAAGGCGGGGAUGACGUCAAAUCAGCACGGCCCUUACGUCCAGGGCUACACACGUGCUACAAUGGCCGAUACAGAGGGCAGCUACCUGGUGACAGGAUGCAAAUCUCCAAAGUCGGUCUCAGUUCGGAUCGGAGUCUGCAACCCGACUCCGUGAAGUUGGAUUCGCUAGUAAUCGCGCAUCAGCCAUGGCGCGGUGAAUACGUUCCCGGGCCUU